GCUCCAGGAUGUCUCCUCUUUCUUUUGAAAUUUGGAAAGAAAUCUAAUGAAAAUUCAGAUGAUGAUAGGCCAUAAGGUUUCAUUCUCAAUUUCUGUUCAACGUUUAUCAUGCUGACACAUUGUUUGCAGUUGUCAGAGGUAUGCUUGCAUCUAGAGGCAAUGCUGUGAAGUUCAGGGUAAAUUACAGAAAGCCGGCAUGUCAAUGCAGAGUGUUUUUAAAAGUAUUUGCACAAACGUCAAGGUCUGUUGAUACUUCCUGCUUGGACAUGGGCUGCAUACAGAACAGCAAUCUACCAUGAAGACUGGAAAAGGGGGAGAUUGUAUAUACUCUUCCCAAACAAGGAAGAACUCCAUGGACUGACUCAGAAUUUAAUGGGCAUCCAAAAGAAGUGAAGCUAAACAACUACCUCCAAUUUUUCUGGGAAACGCAACCAAUAUCAAGAAUGAC
Molecule: long non-coding RNA, 448 nt
Organism: Sceloporus undulatus (fence lizard)
Lineage: Eukaryota; Metazoa; Chordata; Lepidosauria; Squamata; Phrynosomatidae
Exons: 3
Source: RefSeq, a predicted model, not a curated record